GUGGAAAUCAGCAACAGAAGGCAAAGAUUGAAAAAGUGGGGGAAGCAUGCACAGAAAAGACAAGAUAGGUAAAUGAAUAACAUGUGACAAAGAUGGUACUGAAGCCGACGUUAUUAGAGCUUCAAGAAGCAGACUGUCAUAAUGUGUUUUAUCAAGUGUGCUAUUUCAUAAAACAAAAAAAAUUCAGUCUCAUGCAACAAUUUAUUUUGGAUCUCAAAAGUUAGAGCA
RNAcentral lists this unclassified non-coding RNA (228 nucleotides) under Hevea brasiliensis (rubber tree). The record is from RNAcentral. Lineage: Eukaryota; Viridiplantae; Streptophyta; Magnoliopsida; Malpighiales; Euphorbiaceae.